RNAcentral lists this long non-coding RNA (1506 nucleotides) under Ananas comosus (pineapple). RNAcentral's name for it is "long non-coding RNA (ACOM_LNC027097)". The record is from RNAcentral. Lineage: Eukaryota; Viridiplantae; Streptophyta; Magnoliopsida; Poales; Bromeliaceae.
UUAAAAUAAAAAACAGUGUAACAAGAGGAGAAAUGGUGCAACAAGAGGAGAAACAGUGCAACUUUUGUUUAAAGAGUGUAACUUUCAUCUUAAUAGAUGCAGUUUACAUCUGAAAGAGUGUAAUAAGAAGAGAAACAGUGUAAAUAUCUCUCAAGAGUGUAAUUUUCGUUUAAAGAGUGUAGUUUUCAUCUUAAAGCUGCAGUUUACAUCUUAAGUAGUGCAACUUAUAAUUUUUUUUACAAGUUAACGAUGCAAUUUCAUGUUCAUCGUUCUUUUUAUAUAAUUUUUUAUCUUUAUUUUUUUUCUGUUUUUUCUAUAAUUUUUUUUGUCGCCCUCUCUGCAACAGUCACGGUGCGGCGACGACGCCGCUAAGGACCCCCGCUCUGAGUCUGUAGCGCCGCAAUGACCUCCAUGGUGUCGACGUCGGCGGCCGGCGAAGAUGCAUCGUCGUCGGAUGCGACAAGAAUGAGGGAGAGGGAGGAGAUGAGAAGGGCGAGGAAGGACGAGAGAGGCGUCGUCGUCGGAGACGGUGGAGAAGAGUCGGAGAAGAAAAGAAAAGAAAAAAGCUUAAAAAAAAAAAAAAAAAGUCGCGGCGCGGCUUUGGCGGGGUUGGAGGCGAGGAAGGUGGGGGGUGCGUGGACGAGGGCAAGGGCGAGGGCGAGGGCGAGAGAAUGAGGGUGAGAGGCGAGACGGACCGUUUCCGUCUUCGCUCUGCCGGCGAGAAAAAAAUAAAAACGAAAGAAACGAAGAGGAGAGAGAAAGAGGAAAGAGAAAAAGUAAAAAUGGUAUUUUGGUCAGUUUGCUGAAAAAGCGGACCAAAUCUGCAAAAACGAAAAAGGUGGCCCGGUUUUGCAAAAGCCCAAAAUAAGUGAAUUUUUUAUGCAAAUUGGCCUAAUUUUAUUAAUUCUUUACAGCUGUUCGGAGUGGAGCCCGUGAAUGGCGCGGACGUUACGAGCCCAUAGUGUACUCCUAUAUGGAUAUUUAUAUAGUCCUUUACCUGUUCAUUGAGAUUAUGAACACUACCAAGGAGAACACAGAGAAAAGAGAUAAUUUCGAGAGUUCUCUUUUAAUUUUUAAGCUUAAUUCACUUUAUUUGGUCUUUUAUCAUUGGGUGUUGAAAGAAGCUCCGUCAACCUCUUCCGCGUUCGUGUCCGUAGGAAGAGGAGUUCCGGUUGUAUCUUGGGGCGAUGUUUCCGGUUAAUCCCACACGAAGAACGGGAAUACGUCUUAGGACAGUGUCUCGCACGCUUCUGGAUUAAUAUUGUGAUACUUUUUUUUCCACAGUUUUGAAAUUUAGCGAUUAUCGGUUAAAUUGAUUUUGUUAAUUUCAUCACAAAAUUAGUUAGAUUUUAUCACAAUUGGAUUAUUUGUUGCGGGUUUUUUCACCAACACCUACCACUCUCCAAUCAGUUGACAUAUGUGCCUCAUAGAGGAUUGAAGGAGAUCGUACUACUUUCCAAUCGGUUGACACAUAUGCCUCAUAGAGAGUCGAGGGAGAUCGUACUA